Molecule: ribosomal RNA, 253 nt
Filed under: uncultured bacterium
Lineage: Bacteria
Description: partial 16S ribosomal RNA
Rfam family: Bacterial small subunit ribosomal RNA
Source: RNAcentral
UACAGAGGGUGCGAGCGUUAAUCGGAAUUACUGGGCGUAAAGCGCGCGUAGGCGGCUUUGCAAGUCGGGUGUGAAAUCCCCAGGCUUAACCUGGGAACUGCAUUCGAGACUGCAUUGCUAGAGUAUGGGAGAGGGAAGUGGAAUUUCCGGUGUAGCGGUGAAAUGCGCAGAUAUCAGGAGGAACACCGGUGGCGAAGGCGGGUCUCUGGGCCGAUAUUGACGCUGAGGAGCGAAAGCGUGGGGAGCGAACAGG